UCGUUGCAAAGCCUAACUAGGCGGACGAU
Molecule: small RNA, 29 nt
Filed under: Bombyx mori (domestic silkworm)
Lineage: Eukaryota; Metazoa; Arthropoda; Insecta; Lepidoptera; Bombycidae
Description: ovarian small RNA-29354
Source: RNAcentral